Molecule: ribosomal RNA, 374 nt
Filed under: uncultured organism
Description: partial 16S ribosomal RNA
Rfam family: Bacterial small subunit ribosomal RNA
Source: RNAcentral
GUAGGUGGCAAGCGUUGUCCGGAAUUAUUGGGCGUAAAGCGCGCGCAGGUGGUUCUUUAAGUCUGAUGUGAAAGCCCCCGGCUCAACCGGGGAGGGUCAUUGGAAACUGGGGAACUUGAGUGCAGGAGAGGAAAGUGGAAUUCCACGUGUAGCGGUGAAAUGCGUAGAUAUGUGGAGGAACACCAGUGGCGAAGGCGACUUUCUGGCCUGUAGCUGACACUGAGGCGCGAAAGCGUGGGGAGCAAACAGGGAUUAGAUACCCUGGUAGUCCACGCCGUAAACGAUGAGUGCUAAGUGUUGGGGGGGGUUUCCGCCCCCUCAGUGCUGCAGCUAACGCAUUAAGCACUCCGCCUGGGAGUACGGUCGCAAGACUG